This 2900-nucleotide ribosomal RNA is filed under the name Klebsiella pneumoniae. RNAcentral describes it as "bacterial LSU rRNA". It matches the Rfam family "Bacterial large subunit ribosomal RNA". Lineage: Bacteria; Pseudomonadati; Pseudomonadota; Gammaproteobacteria; Enterobacterales; Enterobacteriaceae. The record is from RNAcentral.
UUAAGCGACUAAGCGUACACGGUGGAUGCCCUGGCAGUCAGAGGCGAUGAAGGACGUGCUAAUCUGCGAAAAGCGUCGGUAAGGUGAUAUGAACCGUUAUAACCGGCGAUGUCCGAAUGGGGAAACCCAGUGCAAUUCGUUGCACUAUCGUUAACUGAAUACAUAGGUUAACGAGGCGAACCGGGGGAACUGAAACAUCUAAGUACCCCGAGGAAAAGAAAUCAACCGAGAUUCCCCCAGUAGCGGCGAGCGAACGGGGAGCAGCCCAGAGUCUGAAUCAGCUUGUGUGUUAGUGGAACGGUCUGGAAAGUCCGACGGUACAGGGUGAUAGUCCCGUACACCAAAAUGCACAGGUUGUGAACUCGAAGAGUAGGGCGGGACACGUGGUAUCCUGUCUGAAUAUGGGGGGACCAUCCUCCAAGGCUAAAUACUCCUGACUGACCGAUAGUGAACCAGUACCGUGAGGGAAAGGCGAAAAGAACCCCGGCGAGGGGAGUGAAAAAGAACCUGAAACCGUGUACGUACAAGCAGUGGGAGCACCUUCGGGUGUGACUGCGUACCUUUUGUAUAAUGGGUCAGCGACUUAUAUUCUGUAGCAAGGUUAACCGUAUAGGGGAGCCGCAGGGAAACCGAGUCUUAACUGGGCGUUAAGUUGCAGGGUAUAGACCCGAAACCCGGUGAUCUAGCCAUGGGCAGGUUGAAGGUUGGGUAACACUAACUGGAGGACCGAACCGACUAAUGUUGAAAAAUUAGCGGAUGACUUGUGGCUGGGGGUGAAAGGCCAAUCAAACCGGGAGAUAGCUGGUUCUCCCCGAAAGCUAUUUAGGUAGCGCCUCGUGAAUUCAUCUUCGGGGGUAGAGCACUGUUUCGGCUAGGGGGUCAUCCCGACUUACCAACCCGAUGCAAACUACGAAUACCGAAGAAUGUUAUCACGGGAGACACACGGCGGGUGCUAACGUCCGUCGUGAAGAGGGAAACAACCCAGACCGCCAGCUAAGGUCCCAAAGUCAUGGUUAAGUGGGAAACGAUGUGGGAAGGCACAGACAGCCAGGAUGUUGGCUUAGAAGCAGCCAUCAUUUAAAGAAAGCGUAAUAGCUCACUGGUCGAGUCGGCCUGCGCGGAAGAUGUAACGGGGCUAAACCAUGCACCGAAGCUGCGGCAGCGACACUAUGUGUUGUUGGGUAGGGGAGCGUUCUGUAAGCCUGCGAAGGUGACCUGUGAGGGUUGCUGGAGGUAUCAGAAGUGCGAAUGCUGACAUAAGUAACGAUAAAGCGGGUGAAAAGCCCGCUCGCCGGAAGACCAAGGGUUCCUGUCCAACGUUAAUCGGGGCAGGGUGAGUCGACCCCUAAGGCGAGGCCGAAAGGCGUAGUCGAUGGGAAACAGGUUAAUAUUCCUGUACUUGGUGUUACUGCGAAGGGGGGACGGAGAAGGCUAUGUUAGCCGGGCGACGGUUGUCCCGGUUUAAGCAUGUAGGCUGAUUGUCCAGGCAAAUCCGGAUAAUCAAGGCUGAGGUGUGAUGACGAGGCACUACGGUGCUGAAGUAACAAAUGCCCUGCUUCCAGGAAAAGCCUCUAAGCAUCAGGUAACAUCAAAUCGUACCCCAAACCGACACAGGUGGUCAGGUAGAGAAUACCAAGGCGCUUGAGAGAACUCGGGUGAAGGAACUAGGCAAAAUGGUGCCGUAACUUCGGGAGAAGGCACGCUGGUGUGUAGGUGAAGCCCCUGCGGGUGGAGCUGAGACCAGUCGAAGAUACCAGCUGGCUGCAACUGUUUAUUAAAAACACAGCACUGUGCAAACACGAAAGUGGACGUAUACGGUGUGACGCCUGCCCGGUGCCGGAAGGUUAAUUGAUGGGGUUAUCCGUAAGGAGAAGCUCUUGAUCGAAGCCCCGGUAAACGGCGGCCGUAACUAUAACGGUCCUAAGGUAGCGAAAUUCCUUGUCGGGUAAGUUCCGACCUGCACGAAUGGCGUAAUGAUGGCCAGGCUGUCUCCACCCGAGACUCAGUGAAAUUGAACUCGCUGUGAAGAUGCAGUGUACCCGCGGCAAGACGGAAAGACCCCGUGAACCUUUACUAUAGCUUGACACUGAACAUUGAGCCUUGAUGUGUAGGAUAGGUGGGAGGCUUUGAAGCGUGGACGCCAGUCUGCGUGGAGCCAACCUUGAAAUACCACCCUUUAAUGUUUGAUGUUCUAACGUUGGCCCCUGACCGGGGUUGCGGACAGUGUCUGGUGGGUAGUUUGACUGGGGCGGUCUCCUCCCAAAGCGUAACGGAGGAGCACGAAGGUUAGCUAAUCCUGGUCGGACAUCAGGAGGUUAGUGCAAUGGCAUAAGCUAGCUUGACUGCGAGCGUGACGGCGCGAGCAGGUGCGAAAGCAGGUCAUAGUGAUCCGGUGGUUCUGAAUGGAAGGGCCAUCGCUCAACGGAUAAAAGGUACUCCGGGGAUAACAGGCUGAUACCGCCCAAGAGUUCAUAUCGACGGCGGUGUUUGGCACCUCGAUGUCGGCUCAUCACAUCCUGGGGCUGAAGUAGGUCCCAAGGGUAUGGCUGUUCGCCAUUUAAAGUGGUACGCGAGCUGGGUUUAGAACGUCGUGAGACAGUUCGGUCCCUAUCUGCCGUGGGCGCUGGAGAAUUGAGGGGGGCUGCUCCUAGUACGAGAGGACCGGAGUGGACGCAUCACUGGUGUUCGGGUUGUCAUGCCAAUGGCACUGCCCGGUAGCUAAAUGCGGAAGAGAUAAGUGCUGAAAGCAUCUAAGCACGAAACUUGCCCCGAGAUGAGUUCUCCCUGAGACUAUAAGUCUCCUGAAGGAACGUUAAAGACGAUGACGUUGAUAGGCCGGGUGUGUAAGCGCAGCGAUGCGUUGAGCUAACCGGUACUAAUGAACCGUGAGGCUUAACCUU